AGGGUUUGAUUCUGGCUCAGAGUUAACGCUGGCAUCGUGCAUAACACAUGCAAGUCGAACGGGACUUUAAUUUGUAGCAAUACAGAUUGAAGUUUAGUGGCAGACGGGUGAGUAAUGUAUAAGUAACCAACCUUUAAGUGGGGAAUAACAAUCCGAAAGGGUUGCUAAUACCCCAUAAUAUCUAAUAGCGGCAUCGUUAAUAGAUUAAAGAUUUAUCGCUUGAAGACGGACUUAUAUUCUAUCAGCUAGUUGGCAGUGUAACGGACUACCAAGGCGACGACGGAUAGCCGGCCUGAAAGGGCGACCGGCCACAAGGGCACUGAGACACGGGCCCU
Molecule: ribosomal RNA, 335 nt
Filed under: uncultured bacterium
Lineage: Bacteria
Description: bacterial SSU rRNA
Rfam family: Bacterial small subunit ribosomal RNA
Source: RNAcentral